GCAGGGCGUGGUGGCGCGCGCCUGUAAUCCCAGCGGCUUGGGAGGCUGAGGCAGGAGGGUCUCCAGUUCAAAGCCAGCCUCAGCGACUUAGAAAAGACCUAAACAACUCUGUGAGACCCUGUCUCUA
Molecule: small RNA, 127 nt
Filed under: Marmota monax (woodchuck)
Lineage: Eukaryota; Metazoa; Chordata; Mammalia; Rodentia; Sciuridae
Source: RNAcentral